RNAcentral lists this unclassified non-coding RNA (400 nucleotides) under soil metagenome. Its description in RNAcentral is "partial contains 5.8S ribosomal RNA, internal transcribed spacer 2, and large subunit ribosomal RNA". The stretch from base 1 to 122 matches the Rfam family "5.8S ribosomal RNA", at positions 35 to 154 of the family's 154-position model. The record is from RNAcentral.
GAUGAAGAACGUAGCGAAAUGCGAUACUUGGUGUGAAUUGCAGAAUCCCGUGAACCAUCGAGUCUUUGAACGCAAGUUGCGCCUCAAGCCAUUAGGUUGAGGGCACGUCUGCCUGGGCGUCACAUAUCGUUGCCUGAUGCCAGUUUCCUCGUGAUGGGUGACUGUGCAGGGCGAAUGAUGGCUUCCCGUGAGCAUUGUUGCCUCAUGGUUGGUUGAAAAUUGAGUCCUUGGUAGGGAGCGCCGUGAUAGAUGGUGGUUGAGUGACGAACGAGACCCAAUCAUGUGAGACCCCUACCGAAUUUGGCCUUCAUGACCCACAUGGGUCUUUGGAACGCUCAUGACGAGACCUCAGGUCAGGCGGGGCUACCCGCUGAGUUUAAGCAUAUCAAUAAGCGGAGGA